This 497-nucleotide ribosomal RNA is filed under the name uncultured bacterium. RNAcentral describes it as "partial 16S ribosomal RNA". It matches the Rfam family "Bacterial small subunit ribosomal RNA", at positions 28 to 507 of the family's 1533-position model. The record is from RNAcentral.
GAUGAACGCUGGCGGCGUGCCUAAUACAUGCAAGUCGAGCGAACGGACGAGAAGCUUGCUUUUCUGAUGUUAGCGGCGGACGGGUGAGUAACACGUGGAUAACCUACCUAUAAGACUGGGAUAACUUCGGGAAACCGGAGCUAAUACCGGAUAAUAUUUUGAACCGCAUGGUUCAAAAGUGAAAGACGGUCUUGCUGUCACUUAUAGAUGGAUCCGCGCUGCAUUAGCUAGUUGGUAAGGUAACGGCUUACCAAGGCAACGAUGCAUAGCCGACCUGAGAGAGGGAUCGGCCACACGGGAACUGAGACGCGGUCCAGACGCCUACGGGAGGCAGCAGUAGGGAAUCGUCCGCAAUGGGCGAAAGCCUGACGGAGCAACGCCGCGUGAGUGAUGAAGGUCUUCGGAUCGUAAAACUCUGUUAUUAGGGAAGAACAUAUGUGUAAGUAACUGUGCACAGCUUGACGGUACCUAAUCAGAAAGCCACGGCUAACUACGUG